UGAUAGCGAUGAAGCGUGAGGUUGCCACCAUCCGGUGGGUUUUUCCGUGGAGCGAAUGUCAAGAGGUCGAGAUCAGCAAAUUCGGCCGGGAACCCUGACGGCAA
This 104-nucleotide non-coding RNA is filed under the name unclassified sequences. The record is from Rfam.